GAACGCUAGCGGCGCGCUUAAUGCAUGUAAGUCGAGCGAUGAGGCCCUCUUCGGGGGGUACAUCAGCGGCAGACGGGUGAGUAGCACGUAGGUGAUCUACCCCAGAGACGGGGAUAACGGACGGAAACGUCCGCUAAUACCGGAUGACCUUGUCAGGUCAAAGCGACAAGGAAAGGCUCCGGCGCUCUGGGAGGAGCCUGCGGCCCAUCAGCUAGUUGGCGGGGUAAAGGCCCACCAAGGCGAAGACGGGUAGGGGGUGUGAGAGCAUGGCCCCCCACAAUGGGACUGAAACACGGCCCAUACUCCUACGGGAGGCAGCAGCAGGGAAUAUUGCACAAUGGACGGAAGUCUGAUGCAGCGACGCCGCGUGGAUGAUGAAGGCCCUCGGGUUGUAGAAUCCUUUACAAGGGGACGAGGAAGGACGGUACCCUUGGAACAAGUGUCGGCUAACUACGUGCCAGCAGCCGCGGUAAGACGUAGGACACAAGCGUUAUCCGGAUUUACUGGGCGUAAAGCGUCUGCAGGCGGACAGGUAAGUUGGGCGUGAAAGCUCCGGGCUCAACCCGGAGAGGUCGUUCAAUACUGCGUGUCUAGAGGGUGUCAGAGGGGAGUGGAAUUUCCGGAGUAGCGGUAAAAUGCGCAGAGAUCGGAAAGAACACCAAUGGCGAAGGCAGCUCCCUGGGGCAUACCUGACGCUAAGAGACGAAAGCUAGGGGAGCGAACAGGAUUAGAGACCCUGGUAGUCCUAGCCCUAAACGAUGGAUGCUGGAUGUGGGGCCAUAGCGCUCCGUGUCGAAGCGAACGCGUUAAGCAUCCCGCCUGGGGACUACGGCCGCAAGGUUAAAACUCAAACGAAUUGACGGGACCCCGCACAAGCAGCGGAGCGUGUGGUUUAAUUCGAUGCUACACGAAGAACCUUACCUGGGUUUGACAUCUAGGUGGUAGCGAAGUGAAAGCGGAGCGACCCUUCGGGGAGCCUAGACAGGUGCUGCAUGGCUGUCGUCAGCUCGUGCCGUGAGGUGUCGGGUUAAGUCCCGUAACGAGCGCAACCCUUGCCCUC
This 1060-nucleotide ribosomal RNA is filed under the name uncultured organism. RNAcentral describes it as "bacterial SSU rRNA". It matches the Rfam family "Bacterial small subunit ribosomal RNA", at positions 31 to 1112 of the family's 1533-position model. The record is from RNAcentral.